Molecule: ribosomal RNA, 254 nt
Filed under: uncultured bacterium
Lineage: Bacteria
Description: partial 16S ribosomal RNA
Rfam family: Bacterial small subunit ribosomal RNA
Source: RNAcentral
GACGUAGGGUCCAAGCGUUGUCCGGAUUUACUGGGCGUAAAGAGCGCGUAGGCGGUCCGUUAAGUGUGAAGUGAAAUCUCCAGAGCUCAACUCGGAAACUGCUUCGCAUACUGGCGGACUUGAGGAAUGCAGAGGUGAAUAGAAUUCCUGGUGUAGCGGUGAAAUGCGUAGAUAUCAGGAGGAAUACCCAUGGCGAAGGCAGUUCACUGGGCAUUAUCUGACGCUGAGGCGCGAAAGCGUGGGGAGCAAACAGG